GAUGAACGCUGGCGGCGUGCCUAACACAUGCAAGUCGAACGGGAUUUAAUUAAAAGCUUGCUUUCAAUUAAUGAGAGUGGCGCACGGGUGAGUAACACGUAGCUCAUUUGCCCCAGAGAGCGGGAUAACGCACCGAAAGGUGUGCUAAUACCGCAUAAGCUCACGUCGAGUAGGUAGAUGUGAGAAAAAGCUCAGGCGCUUUGGGAUAAGGCUGCGUUCCAUCAGCUAGUUGGUGAGGUAAAGGCUCACCAAGGCGACGACGGAUAGGGGACCUGAGAGGGUGACCCCCCACACUGGGACUGAGACACGGCCCAGACUCCUACGGGAGGCAGCAGUGAGGAAUAUUGCACAAUGGACGCAAGUCUGAUGCAGCAACGCCGCGUGGGUGAUGAAGGUUUUCGGAUCGUAAAGCCCUUUUCUUGGUGACGAGGAAGGACGGUAGCCAAGGAAUAAGUGUCGGCUAACUACGUGCCAGC
This 476-nucleotide ribosomal RNA is filed under the name uncultured bacterium. Its description in RNAcentral is "bacterial SSU rRNA". It matches the Rfam family "Bacterial small subunit ribosomal RNA", at positions 28 to 512 of the family's 1533-position model. The record is from RNAcentral.